RNAcentral lists this ribosomal RNA (2079 nucleotides) under Triticum aestivum (bread wheat). Its description in RNAcentral is "partial small subunit ribosomal RNA". The record is from RNAcentral. Lineage: Eukaryota; Viridiplantae; Streptophyta; Magnoliopsida; Poales; Poaceae.
AUGGCUGAUAUACCCCUCUUGCCGGUCACUAGGGACGGCGCGGAGGUCGGAGGAGGAGCCGCGAGUCCCAAGAAGAAGAAGACCAUGACGUCACUCUACCUCACCUUCUUUGAGACCGCCGCCGACGGCAAGAACCGUGCCUGUAGGCUCUGCAACAAGACAUAUUGCCUCAGCACCGCCACCAGCAAUCUGGGGAAGCACCUGAACAACCGGCACCCGGGCUACGACCAGCUCGCCGACCACCACCUGCACCUGCAGGGCGACCCUGCCCAGAGCGCCAUCUCCGGCAUGUUUGCCAGGAGCAAGAAGCCGCAGGCCCCGGCGCGAGCUCACCCGCAACCUCAGCCUCAGUCGCAAGCACAAGUUCAGGUUCAGUCUGUUCAGGCUCAGGCCAAAGCGCGGGCCAUCCGCGCUCAGCCUAGCGCGAAGCCGGCGGUGGACGUCGACUACGUCAACUGGUUGCUCCUUCGGUGGCUCAUCGGCUCCUCCUUCCCGCCCUCCACCCUCGAGGACAGCUCGUUUGUCGACAGCUGCAGGUACCUGAACCCGGCCGUCAGGCUCUGGCCGAAGGAGAAGGCUCAGGAGAUCACCCUUCAGGUGUUCAAGAGCAUGAAGGAGGAUGUCAAGGCGUCCCUGCAGCGCGUCAGGUCCCGGCUGUCCAUCUCCCUUGAGUUCUGGACUUCCUACGAGCAGAUAGUGUACCUGUCUGUCAAGUGCCACUGGAUCGACGAGACCUGGGUCUCGCAGAAACUCCUGCUUGACGUGUGCCGGGUUCGGUGCCACUGUACCGGUGCUGACAUUCUGCGAGUUCUGUUGGCUGUCUUGCAGGAUUUUAACAUUGACUUGAAAACCCUUGCUUGCACGCACAAUAACAGCCAGCAUGCUAUCCAUGCCUGUGAAGAGCUCAGGCGGGAGCUCGAGUCCCGGAAGCUCCCCUUCUGCUACAUCCCCUGUGCCGCAAAGGCGCUAGAGGUUAUCAUAGAGGAUGGCCUGCAAAAUGUGAAGCCUGUAUUGUCCAAGGCCCGCGAGUUUAUCCUUGAGACCAAUUCGAACCAGGAGAUGUUGGUGGAUUUUAAGCACUGGACUGAAGUUUACCAAGAAGGCCCAUGUAAAUUCCCUCUUGAUCAUUCGGCAAACUGGAACGGCAAUUACAAUGUGCUCGACAUAGUAAAGAAGGCCCCUAAUGCGAUGGAUAACACCAUCAAGAAGUUUCAAGACAUUUUUGGGCCGAGGGACUGGGUUCUGAGUGACGAGGAGAAGUCAGUGGUGAAUUCAUUGCACUCGUACCUUGAGCCAUUCUAUAAAACUACGACCAACCUUUGUACUUGCAAAUUACCAACUGUUGGGUUGGUCUUCUUCUUCAUGGACCAUGUCUUUGAGUUGAUCAAUGUCUGCCAUGACAGCAGCCACCAGAAAUUGUUUGAGAAAAUCGCCAGAGACAUGUCCAAGACGGCUCGUGACUUCACAUCUCAAGCUUACAACAUCUACACCUUCACGGCCGCGAUUCUUGAUCCAAGGAUCAAAGGGGAGCUCAUCCCUGACGCCCUCAACUCCACCAGCAACUUGGAGGAUGCAAGGGACCAUUUCGUCAGAGACUACAGCAGCAUCUUCCAAGCUCCUGGAAAUGGCUACAGCACCCAACAAGACAACACCGAGGAUGGCGGCGCGUUCUCCUUCGCCGAAGAGAUUAUUCGUAAACGCCGUCGUGUCAGCAUGAGCACUGCCGCUGAUGAGCUCACUCAGUAUCUUGCGGAGCCCCCCGCACCGAUUUCCACUGAUGCUCUUGAAUGGUGGAGAGGGCACUCCUCCCGUUACCCACGGCUCUCAUUGAUGGCCCGUGACUUUUUGGCAAUCCAAGGGACAUCGUUGGAUCCUGAAGAACUGUUCACAAGCAAAGGGGACAGUAUCCACAAGCAGCAGUACUGCCUUCCUCUUAGUAGCAUGCAGGCUACAAUGUGUAUAAAAUCGUGGAUGCAAAGUGGGUAUCAGUUCAAUUUUCAGUCGACAAUUAUUGAUUUCGAGAGAUUAAUCGAGUCUGCUACUGCUCCUGAUGCUGUGAAUGGUCCAGAGUCUUCUUGA